GCCACCUUAGCUCAGUUGGCCAGAGCAAUGCUUUUGUAAAGCAAAGGUCCUGGGUUCGAAUCCCAGAGGUGGCUCAA
RNAcentral lists this transfer RNA (77 nucleotides) under Candidatus Microgenomates bacterium. RNAcentral's name for it is "tRNA-Thr". It matches the Rfam family "tRNA". Rfam says of the family: Transfer RNA (tRNA) molecules are approximately 80 nucleotides in length. Their secondary structure includes four short double-helical elements and three loops (D, anti-codon, and T loops). Further hydrogen bonds mediate the characteristic L-shaped molecular structure. tRNAs have two regions of fundamental functional importance: the anti-codon, which is responsible for specific mRNA codon recognition, and the 3' end, to which the tRNAs corresponding amino acid is attached (by aminoacyl-tRNA synthetases). tRNAs cope with the degeneracy of the genetic code in two manners: having more than one tRNA (with a specific anti-codon) for a particular amino acid; and 'wobble' base-pairing, i.e. permitting non-standard base-pairing at the 3rd anti-codon position. Lineage: Bacteria; Candidatus Microgenomatota. The record is from RNAcentral.